AUGUGGAUAGCCCAGAUGGUUAAUGCGUGUGAUUGGAAACCUGUGGUCGCGGGUUCGAAUCCGGUCCGAUACA
Molecule: transfer RNA, 73 nt
Filed under: Helianthus annuus (common sunflower)
Lineage: Eukaryota; Viridiplantae; Streptophyta; Magnoliopsida; Asterales; Asteraceae
Description: tRNA HanXRQr2_Chr13g0566161
Source: RNAcentral